RNAcentral lists this long non-coding RNA (462 nucleotides) under Rattus norvegicus (Norway rat). RNAcentral's name for it is "long non-coding RNA NONRATT027471". Lineage: Eukaryota; Metazoa; Chordata; Mammalia; Rodentia; Muridae. The record is from RNAcentral.
GUUUCUUCUUUUUUAUAUUUUUAUCUAUUUAUUUUGGUAGGCUUUCAUACUGUGGCCUGGCUGGCCUUGAACUCAGUCAUCCUGUUUCAGUCUCCUGCAGCUGUCCUGACACACAGGACUUCUUGCUUUCUACUCCUGCAACCCUCCUCAGUUCUGAACCUUCAUUUUGUUAUUAUGGGGUUUUGUUUGUUUGUCUUUAGAGUGGAAAUGCAAGAUGCUUUGAGGGAGCAAACUUCCAACGUGGUGCAAAUGGUAAGAUUAAUAACCAAGGAUGUUCAUUACUUUGCACAUUCUGCAAAGAUUAUAGAUUCUGCUGUAGAAAAUCAGUAGCACUUACUCAGGAUAAGGUACGGGGAGCAGCAUUUUAAAACAGAAAAACAGAGUAUAAUAAUGUGAAACCCAUCAUGAAACCAAAUCCUUCAAGAUUCCUAAGUACACAUUUCCACAUGUACACAUUUUUUU